AGCGCUAAAAGGAAAACACGCUCUCCCCUUCGUAUUCACACUUCACAUUCACAAACCCUAAUAUACUGAAUUUACGGCGUUUUUUGCUUCAUAUUUAUGCGGUAUCUUUUUCUAAUAGAUUUUCUAUUUGUGUUUCCCUAAUCCCUGGAAACAAACCCUAGAACUCUUCCAGCCGCAUCACAAUCAAGAUAUGUUUAUUGCUUCAAAGACAAUCGUUCUUCAAAUAUUGAAGAUCUGUGGCAUAUUGUGGUGUUGCAAAGGACUAUUGAUCAAUCAAUCAACUGAUCAUAUAUCACCGAAAGUUCUCAGUGUUAUCAGCUUACAAUCGACUGUUUAUUACCAGCCGGAGUCCAAUCGGCGAUUUCUACUUUGGCGCUUUCAUAUGUCGAUUUCAUAUACAUCGAUUUCAUAUUGAAAGAAACAAGGUUUUUUUUUGCAGGAAAGCCACGUUUCUAGCUUUCUCUAGCGUGUUUAAUUUGGAGCUUUUCCUUUAUGCUGGCAACCCCCAAUGAAGCUAUUUGUCGAUUGCAAUUGCCAUUCUAUAACAUGUUUUUAUUUUUAUUUGUAAAGGGUGAUUAUUAGCUCAUAUUGCAGGUUGCAUUGUUGUUAAGGGGCCAGACUAUCGCUUGGAUUCUUGGUUAGCUUGCAGGUGACAUUUCGUGGGUAGAUCGCCACAUGGAGUUCUGGUCAGCUGCAACGGGUCAGAUUGCAUAUUGGUUGCAACUCGCAUCUUAUAUGUGAUGGAACGUUUCUUUUAUUUCAACUUUAUGUCUAGAAUAAUGAGUGAUUACAAAGUUGAGAUGAUCAAUGAUGGGAUGCAAAAGUCUUAUGUGCAUUUCCAUAGGUUUAAUUUAUGGAAUGUGCCGGGUUUUUGUUUGAAAAGAAGAAAGAAGAACUCUUUGAUAUGGUUUAGAGGUAUGUACUUCAUUACUUCUUUCAUUCAAGCUACAUGGGAAGAUUAAUAGUCAUUUUUCAUGUAAUUCGGCAGAGUUUAUCUGGCUCGUGAAUCAAAGGUAACACACACGUUUCAAAUUUCACAACUGUAACUUCAAUUUUCAUAAAUUAGGGUUUUUUAUCGAACGAAUUUGAUUCUAAUUGGUGUAUGUUGUGUGAGAUUAGAGCAAGUAUAUAGUUUCUUUGAAGGUGAUAUUCAAAGAGCAGAUUGAAAAGUACGGCUGCAACACCAGUUGAAGAGAGAAAUGGCGAUUCAAACGAGCCUUUGGCAUCUGCAUGUUUUGAGGCUGUACUUUAGCUAACCGUGUUGUGGGACUGGAACAAAUGGACUUACUUUAGCUAACCGUGUUGGAAUGCUAUUUGAGAUCAGCUCGGCUAAAAGCUCGAACGAGCCGAGCCAUAACGAGCUCAAGCCCGAGCUCGAGUCUGUAAUAGAGCCCAUUUAGUUAUCGAACACGAGUUUGGGCCGAAUGAUGGAUUCUUGGCGUAUGCCAGUAAUACUAAUGCAUGUGAUCAUCAAUUAUUUGAUUACGGAGCCUAUUGUAAAGAAGAUGGCAGAGUGGCUUUUAAAAGGGCCUUUAAAGCUUUCUGCCAAAUGAAGUUUGACAUAGUUGGUCUGAGGAAGUAAUGCAAUAAAAGGUGUUGCAACAUGAGAAGGCUACUUGAUCUUCAAAUAGGUUGAAUAAAAAAUUGCAUGAUCAUAAGUGGUUGUGUUUUGUGUGGAACAUAUUACUAAUGCCAUUAGAAGACAUUGAUGCCAACUCGAUGAAGGAGAUGGUCAUGUGACAGGCCUAUGCGAUACUAAAUGACGUUGAAUCUGUUGUGCGGACAAUAGAUAUUGUGAGGAUAUCAUUACAAAAUGCACUCGAUUUGGAUCUUGCUUUGAGUAAGAAGCCUUUUGGGCCAGGUGUUGUUGAAAAAACUGUCAAUAAUUCCCUUUAGAGUUAAACGAGCUUAUUUACUAGAGAAUUGACAAUAUCACAACUUUAUUUUUCAAGGUCUUCUUUGAGUUAUACUGAGUUACUGUACUUAUUGUACUAAUAUCCUAACGAAUCGGAUCUUUUUUAUCUA
This is a long non-coding RNA of Helianthus annuus (common sunflower), 2025 nucleotides long. RefSeq lists it as uncharacterized. The transcript has 8 exons. Lineage: Eukaryota; Viridiplantae; Streptophyta; Magnoliopsida; Asterales; Asteraceae. The record is from RefSeq and is a predicted model, not a curated record.